RNAcentral lists this ribosomal RNA (399 nucleotides) under Nitrospiraceae bacterium. RNAcentral describes it as "bacterial SSU rRNA". It matches the Rfam family "Bacterial small subunit ribosomal RNA", at positions 345 to 761 of the family's 1533-position model. The record is from RNAcentral. Lineage: Bacteria; Pseudomonadati; Nitrospirota; Nitrospiria; Nitrospirales; Nitrospiraceae.
GAGGCAGCAGUGGGGAAUCUUGCACAAUGGGGGAAACCCUGAUGCAGCGACGCCGCGUGGAGGAUGAAGGCCUUCGGGUUGUAAACUUCUUUUGUAGGGGAAAAUAAUGAUGGUACCCUAUGAAUAAGCCACGGCUAACUCUGUGCCAGCAGCCGCGGUAAGACAGAGGUGGCGAGCGUUGUUCGGAAUUACUGGGCUUAAAGGGCGCGUAGGCGGUGAUACAAGUCUGGGGUGGAAUUUCACGGCUUAACCGUGGGACUGCCCUGGAAACUGUAUUACUUGAGUCGGUGAGGGGAAGGCGGAAUUCCUGGUGUAGCAGUGAAAUGCGUAGAUAUCAGGAGGAAGGCCUGUGGUGAAGACGGCCUUCUGGCACUUGACUGACGCUGAGGCGCGAAAGCG